AAAGAUCGAUACCGAGGGGGACACGACGCCCCGGAGACACCCCUGCUUCGUCAGGCAGUCUGUACUGCGUACAGCCUGAAACUCCCUAAACCUCAACAGACUGCCACUCCGGCGUGAAGGUAUCGUUCU
This is a non-coding RNA of Shigella boydii ATCC 9905, 129 nucleotides long. Lineage: Bacteria; Pseudomonadati; Pseudomonadota; Gammaproteobacteria; Enterobacterales; Enterobacteriaceae. The record is from Rfam.